AUGGGUCACCCAGCGUUCAGUGUCACCUUUGAAAGAAUACCGUACAGAAAGUGUUCUUAUCGGUAACUGUCACCACAGGAGACCUGUGCUCUCACACCCUCCCCUGUGCGAUUUCAGCUUACUUCCUAGACCCGCUCUGGGUCCCACCCACCUCCCACUGCAGCCAGGAGCCGUCCACCAAUAGUUCUGCCAAUAGAUGGGGAGUUUCUCGCUGUCUUUUGUGUUGUCUCCACCAGCUCCUGGCCCUUGCAUCGGAUGCUCUGCAUUUCCACCCAGAACAAGAACUGCAUCGGUUUCCCGGAGCUGAGAGAUCCCGCUAUCCAGAGCUCUCUGGAGAAAAGAGGAAUGGGGAAUUCUGAGAUUGCCUAAUUCUCUCUUUCAGCCAAAGGGCGUGCUUCACAGCUUUCGGCGAAGUCAGGUGAUUUAUCUUAAAAGCGGGGAGGGCUUGGUAAAAAGGGGGAAAGCUAAACUCAAAAAGUCCAGCCCUUUCUGUGAGUCACAAUUAAUGGAAAGUCACUGUCUGAAGGCAAUGGAAGCAAGAAGGCUCAGCUGGGGAAGGAGCCUGCCCCCAACCAAGCCCAAGAACCUGAAUUCUGCUCUUCCUGGGACCCAAAUCGUUGGGAAAAAAAAACAACUCCUGCAAGUUGUCCUCUGAGACAAUGUAAAUGCAGUAAGUAUUUUUAAAUUUAAAAAAAAAAGGUGCAAUUCCUUAUUCUUAUCCUGCCUUUGAGACACAUUUGGUGGUUGAAUGACACCCUACACCUGGGCCACAGAUGGCAUGGGCUCAUGCAUUUUCUUUGCUCUAAAAAUACCAUCACAAGGCUGGGCAAGGUGGCAGCAGGAUUGUUGAGAACUUGAGUCUAUCCUGGGCUACAUAGACAUUAUCAGGCCAGCUAGUGCUACAUAAUAAAUUUGUUUCUUGUUCAAUCUGGUGCACAGCCAUGAUCCCAGUGCUUAGGAAGUAAAGUUAGGAGCUAUCAGGAGUUCAAGACCAGACCUCUCCUUGCAUGGUCAGUUGGAGGUCAGCCUGGGCUACCUGAAGGGAGGAAGGCAGGAGAGAGAGAAAAGAGAGGCAAAAGAAAAAUUCCAUUGCAAGUUCACCUCUAUAAUGAGAUACAAACCAGAGUCACUAAGCCACGGCCGUUGGGUCAGAUGCAUCAUUUUACAAAGGCAAUAUAGUUACAAGGACCAAAAAGUAACUACCCCCCCCCCAAGGCUGAUAACAGCCCAUUAUCAAGAUUUAAUAUUUCUGCACACACUGGUCUCCACUUUUUCAGGGUGGUAAGAUGUGGACAGGAUGAAGCAAGGCAUCUGUGCACUAGGCUUACCUCCCGUUACCCAGAGCUAGAUCUAGAGUUAUAAGGCAAGCCCAAGUUUAGGAUUACCAGUUUUUACCUCAAGCAGGGUCCUUUUUCCUUCUGGAAUUAAAGAACAAAGAACGAAGACAGAUGGGGCUAGAGAGACGGCUCAGUGGUUAGAGCACUGACUGUUCUUCCAGAGAUCCUGAGUUCAAUUCCCAGCAACCACAUGGUGGCUCACAACCAUCUGUAAUGAGAUCUGGUGCCCUCUUCCGGCCUGCAGGCAUACAUGCAGGCAGAACACUAUACAUAAUAAAUAAAUAAAUCUUUUUUUAAAAAAUGAACAAGACAGAGAAUCAACUGAUAGGUGAAGAAGAAAGUGACUCCGGUAUAAACCCAAGAGUUGCAAGGCACAGGCCAGAUGAUCACCAGCACUAGUCAGUCCGGUCUACACUGCAGGGAUGGCCCAGCACUUAGGAGAGUUUGCUGCUCUUGCCAUCAACCAGAGUUCAAUCCCCAGCACCACGUUGGGUGGCUCAGAAGCCUAACUCCAGGAGAUCUGAUAUCCCUGCAGCACUGAUACAGUUGUGCACAUACACAUAAAUAAAACAAGCCAUGGGCUGGAGAAUGGCUCAGUGGUUAAGAGCGUGUACUUCUCUUCCAGAGAAACCAAGUUUGGUCCCCAGCACUCAUGUCAGGCAGCUCACAAGCAAAUAAGAGAAAGACUCGAAGCCUGUCCUCGCCUGGGCUUCACUAACAGAGCAUGCAGAAGGAAAGCCCACAAGCUGUUUCAUUAAGUCACACAUACAAGGUUAAAUGCUUUAUAAAAACAAAACAGCAACAAAUAAGGUUGUAUUAUGUAGGGUUUUUUGGACUUUAUCUUUGGCUUACUGUAAGCCCACAUUAUGCUUGGGAAUGCCCCUCCUUUAACCACAACCUUCUGGAUAGUUUCACUUUCUCUGAAGACUCCUGUCUUGUCUACUUUUCUAUGCUGUGAUAAGACACAAUCACCAAGGCAACUUAUAGAAGAAAGGGUUUACUUAGGGCUUACAGUUCCAGAAGGGUAGAAUCCAUGACUAUUAUGGUGGAGGGUAUGGCUGCAGGCAAACAGGCAUGGUGCAGGAGCAGUGGCUGAGAGCUCACAUCUAGAGACACAACCACAAGACAGAAAGUGCUACCUGGGGAAGGUGUAUGAAAGCUCAAAGGCCACACCUCCUCCAGGAAGGCCACACCUCCUAAUCCUUCCCAGACAGCUCCACCAGCUGGCAAGCAAGUAUUCAAAUACAUAAGCCUAUGGGGUCCAUUCUCUUUCAAAGUACCACAACACUUCUUUGGACAUACAGCUGCUUACUGACCCCCAUUCUCAACAUGCCAGCUUUUUGGGACCCUGGCUUAAAAACCCUGACUCUUUCCCACUUCUCCCUCUCUCCUCCCAGCAGCCACUAGGGUUUAUGACUUGCCUGCCUUGUUUUUCUCUCAAACACUAAUGAAAUUGCCUUCAAGCUUCCUUCUGAGUUCAUUUCUAAAUUCUUUUAUUAACAAAGACCUGAAGAGAUGGCUCAGAGGUUAAAGCACUGGCUGCUCUUCCAGAAGACCAAGAUUCAAUUCUCAGCAUCCACAACCAUCUGCAACUCCAGUUUCAGGUACUCCAAUGCCCUCUGUUGGCCUCAUUGGGUACUGCAUGCACAUGGUACACAAAUAUACAUGCAGGCAAUACACCUAUACAUAUAAAAUAUACAUAAAUAAAUCUUAAAAAAAAGAUUAAAGAUCCCAAAAAAAGCCCUAAUUUCCCUGGAAGCAUUACCUUGAUUCUAGGUGGUUUAUGUCAGCUGUUCAAAACCCAUGUCUUAUGAAUUUAAGCACAAAUAGAAGAAAUUGGGUAGGAUAGAAAUAGGAGAAAUUAUGGGAACAUGGGAAGGAAGAGGGAAACUCUAACCCCCCAAGAAUCUAAUGAAACUUCUUGACCCCUGAGAAAUAACAGUUCUAGCACAAUUAGCUUUAGCUGUUGUGGUGUAAAACUCUAAAAUAACUCUAAAGCCAUUUUUGACAAAUCUGAGGCCAAUUUUAAGGCCUCUCAGCAGUAGUACUCCCCCCCUCCCCGGGAGCCAAGGACCUAACAACUGUACAUGUACGUACUGGAAUGCUGGGAACUUUUUAUCAUCUCCCUGAGUCCUUGUAAAUGUUCUAUUGAAUAGGGGCAAGAUAACCCUUAGGUGUUAACUCAGUUCCUGGUGUUUUGACUCAGUCCCUAGAAAAGGGGCAAUUGACCCUAAGAUGUGCCCUCUUACCUCAUCUGAUCUGGCAACCACUCUCCAGCCAAAUAUUGGUAAUAGCCCUUUUAAAUAAGCCAAUCAUAAUAGUUAAAAAAAAAUCUCCAGACACCCCCCUUGUUUCUGUGACUUUUUGCUUUAAAAAUAGCCUGUACCAGCUAUUCGGGGUUUUUCUGGCUUCUUGAAUGCUGAAAGACCCUGUGUCAUGACAAAAUUAAUAAAAUCCUCAUGCUUUUACAUCAACUGUGGUAUGAGAGGUGGUCUCUUGGGACAACUCCUCCUCACUGAUUGGACUCUAGGGUCCAACAGUGGCAAUGGCAAUUGUUGACUUAGAAACUUUUCUAGCCUCUGUUCUCUGGCCAUGAAGAGACAACAUGGCCAAGGCAAUCCAUAUAAAAGAAAGCAUUUGAUUGGGACUUGCUUUCAAUUUCAGAAGGCUAGUUCAUGAACACCACAAUGGGAAACAGACAGGCAUGGCACAGAGCAGUGGCUGAGAGCUUUACAUCCUGAUCCACAAGCAGCAGGGAGAAAAGAGAGACUGGGCUUGGUGCAGGCUUUUGAAACCUCAAAGUCUACCUCCAGUGAUACACCUCCCUCAAAAAGGCCACCCAUCCUAAUCUUCUCAAACAGUUCUACUAACUGGGGACCAAGCAUUCAAAUAUAUGAGUCUAUAGGGCCAUUCUCAUUCAAACCACCACACAAUUCUAUAUAUAAACAUUUUAUAUUAAAAUAGCAAUGGGGAAUAAAGAGACGGCUCAGGAGUUAAGAGCUCUUGUUGUUCUUGCAGAGGACCCUGGUUUAAUUCCCAAAUCCUACUUGGUGGUUCACAAGCUUCCAUAUAACUCUGGUUCCAGGCAAUAGGACACCUUCUUCUGGCCUCUAUGGGCUCAGAGCUUCUUGAAAACACAACUUCAAAAGAUAAAAACAGGAGAAUUAUAUCCUCAAAUGCCACAUAAUGCCUUAAAUCAUGCACUGUUUACACUAAACUUCUUGAAUAUGGAUGUCAAUGAGCAAUCAACGGCAGAGAGAUUAUGACAUAAUGGCACAAAAGUGACCUUUGCUAAAGCAAGGUGGAGAGACCCUUGCACUGGAAGAUGGAAAGCGCCCGACCCUGUAUUAAUUUGGGGUCGAGGAUAUGUCUGUGUUUUUUCACAGGAUGAGGAUCAAGCAAGAUGGCUUCCAGAACGCCUGGUAUGAUGUGUCCGGCAGAACACCUGACCUGAUGGAGGAGUCGGAAUGAAAGUUCGUGGUCCCGCUUUCCUGACCCCACGGAGAGGAAUGCCAGUGUGACGGGACCUGAUGCCACCAUUCUACACAGUGGAUGCCAUUCUGCGCUGCAGGACACUGGGGUGCUUCCAGACACUUGGGAUCCACAUAGCCACUGAGACCCUGCUGCAACAGCCACAAUAAUUACAACUUGCUGCAGUCUGAAUCCUGUUUAAUUUGGAGCCGGACUAGAAACACAGAACUCAGAUCGCCAAUGAGGUAUUCAGUCUGCUGUUGAAAUGUUGAGAGAGCCUGAGAACUGAGAUCUCAAUUUUCCUCUCAGGGAAAAAAGGACUAAAAGCCCUUUUCAGAUAAGAGGAGGGGAGCCUAAGGGUUUUUUUCUGCUGCUCAGAGACUGGGACAGUUGCUUAAAAGCAGCAUUGUAUAUGGACUCUUACCCAUUACAAAAAUCUUCUUGUCUUUUGGUUAAAAUGGAUUUAAGAGAAUCAAGAUUUGUUAAAUGGUGUUAUGGUAUUGACCUGCUAAUGCUUUAGUUCACUAUAAAAUGUUAAUGGUUAGAAAAAUGAUCAGAACUUGUUUGAGAAAAGUUUGACACUAGCAAUGAAUUCUUGAAUUUUACAUGUUUGAUAAGACAAAUUUAGAGUUUGAUACAGCUGAAUACUCUAGACUAAUUCACAGGUAGGCAUUCCCAACCCUGGCGAUCCUCUAUUCCUUUAAUAAGGAGAUAUUAUAGCCAUUGAAGUAUGCAUAGCACAAAGUAUUAUCUGCUUGUUUACCAUUAGCUAAUUGCUAAUGAACUCUCUUGACAGAAACCUGGCUCGAAGACAAAGACACAGAGCCCAGUACUUUUUCCCUUAACCCUUGUCAGCAGUCAAGGAUGGGAUUUGAUCCUUUUUCCCCCAGGCACCUAAGACAUGGACUUGCAUGAAUUAAAAUGCACGUUCCAAAGACCAAAGAUGGGCAAGACUGGGAAAUGAAGGAGUGUUCAUCCCAAGGCAGGUGUGAUCAUCUGUCCUGCUGCAGAAGCACAGGCUUUAUUAAAAUUAAUAAAAAGGGAGGAAUUGUGGAGGCCCAAAGAGGCCAAAUGUCAGAGAGUUUGGGACUUGUUUUUAGAUUAUUGUGCUUCUAACUCAAAGAUCCCAUCGAGUUGAGAAACAGAGUUCUGCUCUCUCAAGGCUAUUGGCAACAGGUGUGGCUAGUUGUCAGACCUCGUGCUCCUGCGAUAGGGAAGUAGUUGGUUCCUACCCAAAACAAAAGUCUAAGGAUCCUACUAAGUUCUAGUUCCCCUUACGAAAAUAACUUGGAAUUCCACCCAGGGAGUGGUUUGCCUGCAGAGUGUUUGGUCUAGGGUGUGAGUCAAGGGCAGAAGCGGUGAGUGUACCCCGUGACUUUCAAUUUGUAUGUUAAUACAGUCCUUCUGUUCUACUCCUGCCUUCUGAAAUCGGGGGUGUAUUAAACUGUUGGAAAAUAAAACACAGUGAAUUUUCAGUACUCACUGAAAUUCCCUCCCAAUACUA
Arvicola amphibius (Eurasian water vole) is the source of this 6312-nucleotide long non-coding RNA. RefSeq lists it as uncharacterized. The record is from RefSeq and is a predicted model, not a curated record. The transcript has 2 exons. Lineage: Eukaryota; Metazoa; Chordata; Mammalia; Rodentia; Cricetidae.